This 513-nucleotide ribosomal RNA is filed under the name uncultured bacterium. Its description in RNAcentral is "partial 16S ribosomal RNA". It matches the Rfam family "Bacterial small subunit ribosomal RNA", at positions 28 to 523 of the family's 1533-position model. The record is from RNAcentral.
GACGAACGCUGGCGGCAUGCCUAAUACAUGCAAGUCGAGCGAACAGAUGAAGUGCUUGCACUUCUGACGUUAGCGGCGAACGGGUGAGUAACACGUAAGGAAUCUACCUAUAAGCGGGGGAUAACAUUCGGAAACGGGUGCUAAUACCGCAUAAUAUCUUCUUCCGCACGGAAGAAGAUUGAAAGACGGCUCUGCUGUCACUUAUAGAUGACCUUGCGGUGCAUUAGUUAGUUGGUGGGGUAACGGCCUACCAAGACGAUGAUGCAUAGCCGACCUGAGAGGGUGAUCGGCCACAUUGGGACUGAGACACGGCCCAAACUCCUACGGGAGUCAGCAGUAGGGAAUCUUCCGCAAUGGGCGAAAGCCUGACGGAGCAAUGCCGCGUGAGUGAAGAAGGCCUUCGGGUCGUAAAACUCUGUUAUAAGAGAAGAACAAAUUGUAGAGUAACUGCUACAGUCUUGACGGUAUCUUAUCAGAAAGCCACGGCUAACUACGUGCCAGCCGCCGCCGUAA